RNAcentral lists this transfer RNA (73 nucleotides) under Candidatus Margulisiibacteriota bacterium. RNAcentral's name for it is "tRNA-Lys". It matches the Rfam family "tRNA". Rfam says of the family: Transfer RNA (tRNA) molecules are approximately 80 nucleotides in length. Lineage: Bacteria; Bacillati; Candidatus Margulisiibacteriota. The record is from RNAcentral.
GGCCCGCUAGCUCAGUUGGUAGAGCAUCUGCCUUUUAAGCAGGUGGUCCCGCGUUCGAAUCGCGGGCGGGUCA